GAGACUUUAGCUCAGUGGUAGAGCAUCUCACUUUUAAUGAGAGGGUCGAUGGUUCAAAUCCAUCAAGUCUCA
RNAcentral lists this transfer RNA (72 nucleotides) under Chlamydiota bacterium. Its description in RNAcentral is "Chlamydiae bacterium (freshwater metagenome) tRNA-Lys". It matches the Rfam family "tRNA". Rfam says of the family: Transfer RNA (tRNA) molecules are approximately 80 nucleotides in length. The record is from RNAcentral. Lineage: Bacteria; Pseudomonadati; Chlamydiota.